Molecule: non-coding RNA, 103 nt
Organism: Naganishia friedmannii
Lineage: Eukaryota; Fungi; Basidiomycota; Tremellomycetes; Filobasidiales; Filobasidiaceae
Source: the annotation of a GenBank genome assembly
GGCGCUUUGCCGGAGUGGUUAACGGGUGUCCCUGCUAUUCGACCUUGUGGUCCAGCACAGGAUAUGGUCUCUGACCGCGUGUGUUCGAAUCGCACAGGCGUCG